GAUGAACGCUGACAGAAUGCUUAACACAUGCAAGUCGAUUCAAUUUACCUUCGGGUAUUGAGGAUGGCGGACGGGUGAGUAACGCGUAAGGAACUUGCCUCUUGGUCUGGGACAACUGUUGGAAACGACAGCUAAUACCGGAUAUUAUGAGAUUCUCGCAUGAGAAACUUAUGAAAGCUAUAUGCGCCAAGAGAGAGCCUUGCGUUCCAUUAGCUAGUUGGUGGGGUAACGGCCCACCAAGGCGACGAUGGAUAGCCGGCCUGAGAGGGUGAACGGCCACAAGGGGACUGAGACACGGCCCUUACUCCUACGGGAGGCAGCAGUGGGGAAUAUUGGACAAUGGGCCACAAGCCUGAUCCAGCAAUUCUGUGUGCACGAUGAAGGUCUUCGGAUUGUAAAGUGCCUUCAGUUGGGAAGAAGAAAGUGACGGUACCAACAGAAGAAGCGACGGCUAAAUACGUGCCAGCAGCCGCGGUAAUACGUAUGUCGCAAGCGUUAUCCGGAUUUAUUGGGCGUAAAGCGCGUCUAGGCGGAAAAAUAAGUCUGAUGUUAAAAUGCGGGGCUCAACUCCGUAUUGCGUUGGAAACUGUUUUUCUAGAGUACUGGAGAGGUGGGCGGAACUACAAGUGUAGAGGUGAAAUUCGUAGAUAUUUGUAGGAAUGCCGAUGGAGAANUCAGCUCACUGGACAGA
Molecule: ribosomal RNA, 691 nt
Filed under: uncultured prokaryote
Description: bacterial SSU rRNA
Rfam family: Bacterial small subunit ribosomal RNA
Source: RNAcentral